UGGGGGAUAUUGCACAAUGGAGGAAACUCUGAUGCAGCAACGCCGCGUGAGGGAAGAAGGUCUUCGGAUUGUAAACCUUUGUCCUUGGUGACGAUAAUGACGGUAGCCAAGGAGGAAGCUCCGGCUAACUACGUGCCAGCAGCCGCGGUAAUACGUAGGGAGCGAGCGUUGUCCGGAUUUACUGGGUGUAAAGGGAGCGUAGGUGGGGAGGCAAGUCAGAUGUGAAAACCCGGGGCUCAACCCCGGGACUGCAUUUGAAACUGUCUUGCUAGAGUGCAGGAGAGGUAAGUGGAAUUCCUAGUGUAGCGGUGAAAUGCGUAGAUAUUAGGAGGAACACCAGUGGCGAAGGCGGCUUACUGGACUGUAACUGACACUGAGGCUCGAAAGCAUGGGUAGCAAACAGG
Molecule: ribosomal RNA, 404 nt
Filed under: uncultured prokaryote
Description: bacterial SSU rRNA
Rfam family: Bacterial small subunit ribosomal RNA
Source: RNAcentral